UUUCGAGUGUGCACCAGGUAAUUCGUGACGCUGUAAACACCACUAUGUAGUUGCAAGUCUUGCAUAGUUGCAUUGAAUAUCUCUGUCUUGAUCUUCUUAGUAAUGGAAGGUCUUGCAAAAAGCAGUAGAGCAAGAUCUUAUAGUAAUGUACUGCUAACUGUGAAGAAAUUAAAAGUAAAAGGAAAAAUAAGUUUUAUGUAGGAAAUAAUU
This 210-nucleotide long non-coding RNA is filed under the name Panax ginseng (ginseng). Its description in RNAcentral is "long non-coding RNA (PGIN_LNC012305)". Lineage: Eukaryota; Viridiplantae; Streptophyta; Magnoliopsida; Apiales; Araliaceae. The record is from RNAcentral.